GCUCAGGAUGAACGCUAGCUACAGGCUUAACACAUGCAAGUCGAGGGGUAGCAGGGUAGCAAUACCGCUGACGACCGGCGCACGGGUGAGUAACACGUAUCCAACCUUCCCAUAACUCGGGGAUAGCCUUUCGAAAGAAAGAUUAAUACCCGAUAGUACUUUUUUAGGGCAUCUUAGAAAAGUUAAAGAUUUAUUGGUUAUGGAUGGGGAUGCGUUCCAUUAGAUAGUUGGUGAGGUAACGGCUCACCAAGUCUUCGAUGGAUAGGGGUUCUGAGAGGAAGGUCCCCCACAUUGGUACUGAGACGCGGACCAAACUCCUACGGGAGGCAGCAGUGAGGAAUAUUGGUCAAUGGGCGAGAGCCUGAACCAGC
RNAcentral lists this ribosomal RNA (371 nucleotides) under uncultured Bacteroidales bacterium. RNAcentral describes it as "bacterial SSU rRNA". It matches the Rfam family "Bacterial small subunit ribosomal RNA", at positions 22 to 392 of the family's 1533-position model. The record is from RNAcentral. Lineage: Bacteria; Pseudomonadati; Bacteroidota; Bacteroidia; Bacteroidales.